AGUGAACGCUGGCGGUAGGCCUAACACAUGCAAGUCGAACGGCAGCACAGUAAGAGCUUGCUCUUACGGGUGGCGAGUGGCGGACGGGUGAGGAAUACAUCGGAAUCUACUUUUUCGUGGGGGAUAACGUAGGGAAACUUACGCUAAUCCCGCAUACGACCUACGGGUGAAAGCAGGGGAUCUUCGGACCUUGCGCGAUUGAAUGAGCCGAUGUCGGAUUAGCUAGUUGGCGGGGUAAAGGCCCACCAAGGCGACGAUCCGUAGCUGGUCUGAGAGGAUGAUCAGCCACACUGGAACUGAGACACGGUCCAGACUCCUACGGGAGGCAGCAGUGGGGAAUAUUGGACAAUGGGCGCAAGCCUGAUCCAGCCAUACCGCGUGGGUGAAGAAGGCCUUCGGGUUGUAAAGCCCUUUUGUUGGGAAAGAAAAGCAGCAGGUUAAUACCCCGCUGUUCUGACGGUACCCAAAGAAUAAGCACCGGCUAACUUCGUG
RNAcentral lists this ribosomal RNA (492 nucleotides) under uncultured bacterium. Its description in RNAcentral is "partial 16S ribosomal RNA". It matches the Rfam family "Bacterial small subunit ribosomal RNA", at positions 29 to 507 of the family's 1533-position model. The record is from RNAcentral.